Molecule: ribosomal RNA, 467 nt
Filed under: uncultured bacterium
Lineage: Bacteria
Description: partial 16S ribosomal RNA
Rfam family: Bacterial small subunit ribosomal RNA
Source: RNAcentral
GACGAACGCUGGCGGCGUGCUUAACACAUGCAAGUCGAACGGAAAGGCCCUGCUUUUGUGGGGUGCUCGAGUGGCGAACGGGUGAGUAACACGUGAGUAACCUGCCCUUGACUUUGGGAUAACUUCAGGAAACUGGGGCUAAUACCGGAUAGGAGCUCCUGCUGCAUGGUGGGGGUUGGAAAGUUUCGGCGGUUGGGGAUGGACUCGCGGCUUAUCAGCUUGUUGGUGGGGUAGUGGCUUACCAAGGCCUUGACGGGUAGCCGGCCUGGGAGGGUGACCGGCCACAUUGGGACUGGGAUGCGGCCCAGACUCCUACGGGAGGCAGCGGUGGGGAAUAUUGCACAAUGGGCGGAGGCCUGAUGCAGCAACGCCGCGUGCGGGAUGACGGCCUUCGGGUUGUAAACCGCUUUCGCCUGUGACGAGGCGUGAGUGACGGUAAUGGGUAAAGAAGCACCGGCUAACUACGU